RNAcentral lists this transfer RNA (76 nucleotides) under Oscillospiraceae bacterium. RNAcentral's name for it is "tRNA-Pro". It matches the Rfam family "tRNA". Rfam says of the family: Transfer RNA (tRNA) molecules are approximately 80 nucleotides in length. Their secondary structure includes four short double-helical elements and three loops (D, anti-codon, and T loops). Further hydrogen bonds mediate the characteristic L-shaped molecular structure. tRNAs have two regions of fundamental functional importance: the anti-codon, which is responsible for specific mRNA codon recognition, and the 3' end, to which the tRNAs corresponding amino acid is attached (by aminoacyl-tRNA synthetases). tRNAs cope with the degeneracy of the genetic code in two manners: having more than one tRNA (with a specific anti-codon) for a particular amino acid; and 'wobble' base-pairing, i.e. permitting non-standard base-pairing at the 3rd anti-codon position. The record is from RNAcentral. Lineage: Bacteria; Bacillati; Bacillota; Clostridia; Eubacteriales; Oscillospiraceae.
CGAGGUGUAGCUCAGUUGGCAGAGCGCCUGCUUUGGGAGCAGGAGGCCCAGGGUUCGAGACCCUGCACUUCGACCA